Non-coding RNA from Ixodes scapularis (black-legged tick), 82 nucleotides. NCBI's taxonomy places the organism in Eukaryota, Metazoa, Arthropoda, Arachnida, Ixodida, Ixodidae. The record is from Rfam.
GCAGUCGUGGCCGAGUGGUUAAGGCGAUGGACUAGAAAUCUAUCGGGGUCUCCCCGCACAGGUUCGAAUCCUGUCGGCUGCA